AUAUAAUAUCAAUCAAAUCAA
Caenorhabditis elegans is the source of this 21-nucleotide non-coding RNA. Lineage: Eukaryota; Metazoa; Nematoda; Chromadorea; Rhabditida; Rhabditidae. The record is from Ensembl.